AUACGGAGGGUGCAAGCGUUGUUCGGAAUUACUGGGCGUAAAGCGCGCGUAGGUGGUCUGUUAUGUCAGAUGUGAAAGUCCACGGCUCAACCGUGGAAGUGCAUUUGAAACUGGCAGACUUGAGUACUGGAGGGGGUAGUGGAAUUCCCGGUGUAGAGGUGAAAUUCGUAGAUAUCGGGAGGAAUACCGGUGGCGAAGGCGACUACCUGGCCAGAUACUGACACUGAGGUGCGAAAGCGUGGGGAGCGAACAGAAUUAGAUACCCCAGUAGUCC
RNAcentral lists this ribosomal RNA (274 nucleotides) under uncultured bacterium. Its description in RNAcentral is "partial 16S ribosomal RNA". It matches the Rfam family "Bacterial small subunit ribosomal RNA", at positions 523 to 796 of the family's 1533-position model. The record is from RNAcentral.